This 235-nucleotide ribosomal RNA is filed under the name uncultured bacterium. Its description in RNAcentral is "partial 16S ribosomal RNA". It matches the Rfam family "Bacterial small subunit ribosomal RNA", at positions 524 to 758 of the family's 1533-position model. The record is from RNAcentral.
UACGUAGGGUGCGAGCGUUGUCCGGAAUUACUGGGCGUAAAGAGCUCGUAGGUGGUUUGUCGCGUUGUCCGUGAAAUUCCCUGGCUUAACUGGGGGCGUGCGGGCGAUACGGGCAGACUGGAGUACUGCAGGGGAGACUGGAAUUCCUGGUGUAGCGGUGAAAUGCGCAGAUAUCGGGAGGAACACCAGAGGCGAAGGCGGCGAACUGGACAGUAACUGACACUCAACUGCGAAA